Molecule: long non-coding RNA, 1655 nt
Filed under: Limulus polyphemus (Atlantic horseshoe crab)
Lineage: Eukaryota; Metazoa; Arthropoda; Merostomata; Xiphosura; Limulidae
Description: uncharacterized LOC106462225
Source: RNAcentral
CGGAUUUACAACGCUAGAAACCGGGUUUCGAUACCCAUGCUGGGAAGAGCACAGAUAGCCCAUUGUGUAACUUUGUGCUUAACUUUGGACAAAUAAACAAACAUAUUAUAACUGCGUGCUCUAAACGUAUGGUAAUUGCCUUCAGAUGCCAUGUGGUAGGCAUGUGAAAAACCUAAUGUUCUAAUAAAGUGAAAGUGAUAACUUGAAAUUAUAAUUUUUUUCGUCAUCAAGAGAAAACUGAUUCUAGCUGACGAAAAUAUUUCUAAAAAAGGUUUUUUGAUCUUCUAAUCCAGUGGUUCUCAAACAGGGGAGUGCGACCCACUUAUCCUGUGGGGGGGGGGGGCGAGAGCUGAUUCAGAGAAAAAAAAUUUUGCCACAAAAUUAUUUCCGGUAAUGAGCAACUCGACUAUACUAAAAUAUAACAUGACAUAUAACGACCACAGUUCUUUAAUAAAGUGGGGAUCAAACGUAUGGGGGGGGGGGGUGUCGAAGGAGUCUCGAUUUAAAAAAAUUUGAGAACCACUGCAGGUCUGUUCAGUAUGUUCUUUAGCACUAUUGUUUUUUGUUGUUUUUUUUGCUGUUUAAAAGCGCUUUCUUAUAAUCCAAGAUUCCAUCAUCAAGUGUCGAAGAAUUGUACAUUUGUGCGUCGUUUAAUAUUACCUUAAAUAAUGUAAAAUAUGACUCCAUGCACGUCUGCAAUUACAACAGUAAAAUUAGUAUUAGAAUUUUACUUUUAAAUUAUUUUUCGGGUGUAGAAAGUUUCAAAAUAUAAUAAAUUUGCAAAGGACAUUUUUUAUAAUAGAAAUAACGUGACAGGAUUUUUAAUCAUUAGACAACAACCAUGACUAGCUUCCACUCCCUCCCCUUUAUGAUGCUAUUAAAAGGUAUAUCAGAAAUAACGUGACAGGAUUUUUAAUCAUUAGACAACAACCAUGACUAGCUUCCACGCCCUCCCCUUUUUUGUAUCAUGAUGCUAUUAAAAGGUAUAUCAGAAAUAACGUGACAGGAUUUUUAAUCAUUAGACAACAACCAUGACUAGCUUCCACACCCUCCCCUUUUUUGUAUCAUGAUGCUAUUAAAAGGUAUAUCAGAAAUAAUGUGACAGAAUUUUUAAUCAGACAACAGCCAUGACUAGCUUCCACUCCCUCCCCUUUAUGAUGCUAUUAAAAUAUAAAUCAGAAUCCUUGUUUCAGCGUGCUUUAAAGCUGUUUGCAAUACAAGUUAGAAGAAAAUUGUCGAGCAACAAUUUUAAAAGGCAUGAUUUUUAGGUUCGGUGCAUACUUCGAAACCAUGUUCUUAUUUUGAAGGCAUGCUUUAACUGAAAAAGUUGUUUGUCAUUGACCGUUUAAAUGUACUUAAAAUCACUGUCAUGUUUUACAUAAUAAUGUGUGGUAUUAAUGUCAUUAUUAGAAUUAAUGCUUCUAACUCCAAGCUGUUCGUGCAGAAAUUAACUAGAUAUUUUUUGUACCUAAUUCCUGCUUAUAUAAAGAUAAAAAUAGCAAAUAACCUAAAACUUGUGUUCUCUAUUUAGACUUUAGAUUUAAAAAAACCAAAAAAAAAACAACAGAUAUACUAAAAUGUUAGUGUAGGUCAAAAGGAACCAAUUUUACUGAACAAAUGUGAAAAAAAAUAAUAAAAUUUCCAUUUUUUGGAGA